This is a transfer RNA of Camelus ferus (Wild Bactrian camel), 72 nucleotides long. It matches the Rfam family "tRNA". Rfam says of the family: Transfer RNA (tRNA) molecules are approximately 80 nucleotides in length. The record is from Rfam. Lineage: Eukaryota; Metazoa; Chordata; Mammalia; Artiodactyla; Camelidae.
AAGGGUAUAACUCUGUGGUAGAGUGUGUGCUUAGUGUGCACGAGGUCCUGGGUUCAAUCUCCAGUACCUCCA